RNAcentral lists this ribosomal RNA (500 nucleotides) under uncultured bacterium. RNAcentral describes it as "bacterial LSU rRNA". It matches the Rfam family "Bacterial large subunit ribosomal RNA", at positions 683 to 1181 of the family's 2925-position model. The record is from RNAcentral.
CUGAAUAGGGCGUUAAGUUGCAGGACGUAGACCCGAAGCCAGGUGAUCUAUCCAUGGUCAGGUUGAAGCGUGGGUAAAGCCACGUGGAGGACCGAACUCACUAAUGUUGAAAAAUUAGGGGAUGAACUGUGGAUGGGGGUGAAAAGGCCAAUCAAACCUGGAGAUAGCUGGUUCUCCCCGAAAUAUAUUGAGGUAUAGCCUCGUGUGAUUCGCGCUGGAGGUAGAGCACUGAAUGGGCUAGGGGUCCCACAGGAUUACCAAACCCAACUAAACUCCGAAUGCCAGCGACGUCAGCACGGGAGUCAGACUGCGGGAGAUAAGUUCCGUGGUCGAGAGGGAAAGAGCCCAGACUGCCAGCUAAGGCCCCCAAGUGUAUGCUAAGUGGAAAAGGAUGUGGGGACACAUAGACAACCAGGAGGUUGGCUUAGAAGCAGCCAUCCUUAAAAGAAAGCGUAAUAGCUCACUGGUCAAGUGGCUCUGCGCCGAAAAUCCAACGGGGC